UACGGAGGGUGCAAGCGUUGUCCGGAUUCACUGGGUGUAAAGGGAGUGUAGGCGGAUGUGCAAGUCGAAGGUGAAAGCGGGCCGCUUAACGGUCUCAAGUGCCUUCGAAACUGCAUGUCUUGAGUGUGUCAGGGGGUACUGGAAUUCCCGGUGUAGCGGUGGAAUGCGUAGAUAUCGGGAGGAACACCAGUGGCGAAGGCGGGUACCUGGGGCACAACUGACGCUGAGACUCGAAAGUGCGGGGAGCAAACAGG
This 254-nucleotide ribosomal RNA is filed under the name uncultured bacterium. Its description in RNAcentral is "partial 16S ribosomal RNA". It matches the Rfam family "Bacterial small subunit ribosomal RNA", at positions 524 to 776 of the family's 1533-position model. The record is from RNAcentral.